Molecule: ribosomal RNA, 253 nt
Filed under: uncultured bacterium
Lineage: Bacteria
Description: partial 16S ribosomal RNA
Rfam family: Bacterial small subunit ribosomal RNA
Source: RNAcentral
UACGUAGGGUGCAAGCGUUGUCCGGAAUUAUUGGGCGUAAAGAGCUCGUAGGCGGUUUGUUGCGUCGGCUGUGAAAUCCCGAGGCUCAACCUCGGGUCUGCAGUCGAUACGAGCAAACUAGAGUGUUGCAGGGGAGACUGGAAUUCCUGGUGUAGCGGUGAAAUGCGCAGAUAUCAGGAGGAACACCAGCGGCGAAGGCGGUGCUCUGGGCCGGAACUGACGCUGAGGAGCGAAAGCGUGGGUAGCAAACAGG